RNAcentral lists this non-coding RNA (28 nucleotides) under Rattus norvegicus (Norway rat). The record is from RNAcentral. Lineage: Eukaryota; Metazoa; Chordata; Mammalia; Rodentia; Muridae.
UGCAAGAGCCAAGGUAAAGCCUAGAGCU